UGUGCGGCCUUCCGCACCUCAAGCACCUUGAACUGCCUGAGCCAGAGCUCGAACCACCAAAACCCAAACUAGCCUUCAAAUUCUGCCAAAACUUCUUCUGCGACUUCCUGAGACCUCUCUUCCAUUUCUUACCUCUCGUGGCAGCUGUACUCAGAGUGGAGGGAUCAAUCCCUCCUGAACCUGAAAUCCUAGAAUCCUGAGUCUGAGCAUCCUCCUGAGAAUCUCCCAUACCUUCCUCUGGCACUCUGAUUCCCAAACUGACAU
This 264-nucleotide long non-coding RNA is filed under the name Manihot esculenta (cassava). Its description in RNAcentral is "long non-coding RNA (MESC_LNC002800)". The record is from RNAcentral. Lineage: Eukaryota; Viridiplantae; Streptophyta; Magnoliopsida; Malpighiales; Euphorbiaceae.